CUUUGCAAUACGCACUCGAUAUCGAAACACUGAGGGCCACAGGUUUUUCAGCCUUCGGCUGUAAUGUGUUUUACCCUCGUUAAAUAUAAGCUGCUACUACUACUACUACUACACUAUUCUUUAAUGUGAACAAGUUAGAAGCUUAUAUUAUUAUGCAUAUUUUACUACUGUACAGUAUAUAUUUGCUGAAUGUGUUUUAGAAGUACCGUAAACCUCCGACUAUAAGCCCUGGGCUUAUAUUGUUCCGCAACCGAUUUUUGAUGGGCUUAUAC
Paramuricea clavata is the source of this 272-nucleotide non-coding RNA. Lineage: Eukaryota; Metazoa; Cnidaria; Anthozoa; Malacalcyonacea; Plexauridae. The record is from the annotation of a GenBank genome assembly.